GACGAACGCUGGCGGCGUGCUUAACACAUGCAAGUCGAACGGAAAGGCCCUGCUUUUGUGGGGUGCUCGAGUGGCGAACGGGUGUGUAACACGUGAGUAACCUGCCCUUGACUUUGGGAUAACUUCAGGAAACUGGGGCUAAUACCGGCUAGGAGCUCCUGCUGCAUGGUGGGGGUUGGAAAGUUUCGGCGGUUGGGGAUGGACUCGCGGCUUAUCAGCUUGUUGGUGGGGUAGUGGCUUACCAAGGCUUGGACGGGUAGCCGGCCUGAGAGGGUGACCGGCCACAUUGGGACUGAGAUGCGGCACAGACUCCUACGGGACGCAGCAGUGGAGAAUAUUGUACAAUGGGCGGAAGCCUGAUGCAGCAACGCCGCGUGGGGGAUGACGGCCAUCGGGUUGUAAUCCGCUUUCGCCUGUGACGAAGCGUGAGUGACGGUAAUGGGUAAAGAAGCACCGGCUAACUACGUG
This 468-nucleotide ribosomal RNA is filed under the name uncultured bacterium. RNAcentral's name for it is "partial 16S ribosomal RNA". It matches the Rfam family "Bacterial small subunit ribosomal RNA", at positions 28 to 507 of the family's 1533-position model. The record is from RNAcentral.